Molecule: ribosomal RNA, 252 nt
Filed under: uncultured prokaryote
Description: partial 16S ribosomal RNA
Rfam family: Bacterial small subunit ribosomal RNA
Source: RNAcentral
UACGUAGGGUGCGAGCGUUAAUCGGAAUUACUGGGCGUAAAGCGUGCGCAGGCGGUUCGUUAAGUCAGAUGUGAAAUCCCCGAGCUUAACUUGGGAACUGCAUUUGAAACUGGCGGGCUGGAGUGUGGCAGAGGGGGGUGGAAUUCCACGUGUAGCAGUGAAAUGCGUAGAGAUGUGGAGGAACACCGAUGGCGAAGGCAGUCCCCUGGCCAACACUGACGCUCAGGCACGAAAGCAUGGGGAGCGAACGGG